Molecule: ribosomal RNA, 177 nt
Filed under: uncultured bacterium
Lineage: Bacteria
Description: partial 16S ribosomal RNA
Rfam family: Bacterial small subunit ribosomal RNA
Source: RNAcentral
GAAGCUGGAAUCGCUAGUAAUCGCAAAUCAGAAUGUUGCGGUGAAUACGUUCCCGGGUCUUGUACACACCGCCCGUCACACCAUGGGAGUCGGAAAUGCCCGAAGUCUGUGACCCAACGAAAGAGGGAGCAGCCGAAGGCAGGUCUGAUAACUGGGGUGAAGUCGUAACAAGGUACC